This 243-nucleotide ribosomal RNA is filed under the name Mycoplasmopsis pullorum. Its description in RNAcentral is "Mycoplasma pullorum partial 23S ribosomal RNA". It matches the Rfam family "Bacterial large subunit ribosomal RNA", at positions 1388 to 1635 of the family's 2925-position model. The record is from RNAcentral. Lineage: Bacteria; Bacillati; Mycoplasmatota; Mycoplasmoidales; Metamycoplasmataceae.
GACCUAAGGAGAGGCUGAAAAGCGUAUCCGAUGGAUAACAGGUUAAUAUUCCUGUACUAUCUAUAAUUAGUGAUGGAAUGACGGAGAAGGAUAACAGUACCCAUUAUUGGAUUUGGGGGUAAGCAACGACUGGUCAAUGUAGUUAAAUGCGCAUUGUAUAACCGGAAUUUGUGAUGCAUAGUGAUUUAUUUCACGAAUUUUGUGAUUCCAUGCUUCCAAGAAAAGUUUCUAAGCGUUAUAAAA